AACGAACGCUGGCGGCAGGCCUAACACAUGCAAGUCGAACGCCCCGCAAGGGGAGUGGCAGACGGGUGAGUAACGCGUGGGAGUCUACCCAGUGGUACGGAACAACCAAGGGAAACUUUGGCUAAUACCGUAUACGUCCUUCGGGAGAAAGAUUUAUCGCCAUUGGAUGAGCCCGCGUCGGAUUAGGUAGUUGGUGAGGUAACGGCUCACCAAGCCUACGAUCCGUAGCUGGUCUGAGAGGAUGAUCAGCCACAUUGGGACUGAGACACGGCCGAAACUCCUACGGGAGGCAGCAGUGGGGAAUAUUGGACAAUGGGCGCAAGCCUGAGCCAGCCAUGCCGCGGGAGUGAUGACGGCCCUAGGGUUGUAAAGCUCUUUCGGCGGGGAAGAUAAUGACUGUACCCGCAGAAGAAGCCCCGGCUAACUUCGUGCCAGCCGCCGCCGUAA
Molecule: ribosomal RNA, 447 nt
Filed under: uncultured bacterium
Lineage: Bacteria
Description: partial 16S ribosomal RNA
Rfam family: Bacterial small subunit ribosomal RNA
Source: RNAcentral